AUAUUGCGCAAUGGACGGAAGUCUGACGCAGCGACGCCGCGUGAGCGAUGAAGGCCUUCGGGUCGUAAAGCUCUGUCCUUGGGGAAGAAGGCGAAAGCUUGACGGUACCCAAGAAGAAAGCCCCGGCUAACUACGUGCCAGCAGCCGCGGUAAUACGUAGGGGGCGAGCGUUGUCCGGAAUUACUGGGCGUAAAGGGUGCGUAGGCGGCCCUUUAAGUCAGAUGUGAAAGCCCGCGGCUUAACCGCGGAACUGCAUUUGAAACUGGAGGGCUUGAGUGUCGGAGAGGGUAGUGGAAUUCCCAGUGUAGCGGUGAAAUGCGUAGAUAUGUGGAGGAAUACCGAUGGCGAAGGCAGCCCCCUGGGAUAAUACUGACGCUCAGACACGAAAGCGUGGGGAGCAAACAGG
RNAcentral lists this ribosomal RNA (406 nucleotides) under uncultured bacterium. RNAcentral's name for it is "partial 16S ribosomal RNA". It matches the Rfam family "Bacterial small subunit ribosomal RNA", at positions 361 to 776 of the family's 1533-position model. The record is from RNAcentral.